RNAcentral lists this ribosomal RNA (270 nucleotides) under uncultured bacterium. Its description in RNAcentral is "partial 16S ribosomal RNA". It matches the Rfam family "Bacterial small subunit ribosomal RNA", at positions 88 to 354 of the family's 1533-position model. The record is from RNAcentral.
CCGGCGACCGGCGCACGGGUGAGUAACACGUAUGCGACCUGCCCCCGCAGGGGGAUAACCGGGAGAAAUCCCGACUAAUACCGCGUAACGCCGCGGACCUGCAUGGGUCUGCGGCCAAAGGAAGCGAUUCCGGCCGGGGGAUGGGCAUGCGGCGCAUUAGCUAGUCGGCGGGGUAACGGCCCACCGAGGCGACGAUGCGUAGGGGUUCUGAGAGGAAGGUCCCCCACACUGGUACUGAGACACGGACCAGACUCCUACGGGAGGCAGCAG